RNAcentral lists this ribosomal RNA (53 nucleotides) under Geobacillus subterraneus. Its description in RNAcentral is "partial 23S ribosomal RNA". The record is from RNAcentral. Lineage: Bacteria; Bacillati; Bacillota; Bacilli; Caryophanales; Anoxybacillaceae.
GGUUAAGCUAGAAAGGGUGCACGGUGGAUGCCUUGGCACUAGGAGCCGAUGAA